Molecule: ribosomal RNA, 481 nt
Filed under: uncultured bacterium
Lineage: Bacteria
Description: partial 16S ribosomal RNA
Rfam family: Bacterial small subunit ribosomal RNA
Source: RNAcentral
GAUGAACGCUGGCGGCGUGCUUAACACAUGCAAGUCGAACGAAGCACUUUAUUUGAUUUCCUUCGGGACUGAUUAUUUUGUGACUGAGUGGCGGACGGGUGAGUAACGCGUGGGUAACCUGCCUUGUACAGGGGGAUAACAGUUGGAAACGGCUGCUAAUACCGCAUAAGCGCACAGCAUCGCAUGAUGCAGUGUGAAAAACUCCGGUGGUAUAAGAUGGACCCGCGUUGGAUUAGCUAGUUGGUGAGGUAACGGCCCACCAAGGCGACGAUCCAUAGCCGACCUGAGAGGGUGACCGGUCACAUUGGGACUGAGACACGGCCCAAACUCCUACGGGAGGCAGCAGUAGGGAAUAUUGCACAAUGGGCGAAAGCCUGAUGCAGCGACGCCGCGUGAGCGAAGAAGUAUUUCGGUAUGUAAAGCUCUAUCAGCAGGGAAGAUAAUGACGGUACCUGACUAAGAAGCACCGGCUAAAUACGUG